AGCGUAAGAUACGUCUCAAGUCUCAAGUCUCAAGUCAUCAUGUCUAAAACAUGGAACGUAUCAAAUGUCUCAAGGGCCUAUCUCUAUGUCAUCAUGUCUAAAACAUGGAAUACAGUAGAUGUCAAUGGCCUAUCACUGUCUCUAUAUUGCAGUUUUUCAGUUUGCUGGUUCAUGUGCCCCUUCAUGACACUUUUGUUCACUAAGUCAAAGCAUGAUAAUUAUGUUCAUGAAUACAUAAUUCUAAUCAUUCCCCUCGCACGAGACAUAUAAUCAACUCGCAAAGAUAAACACUUCCACAUGCAUGCACCUUACACAUAUAGCUCUACUAUAUAGAGUGAAAUUUUUAUUAUACAUAACACAUGCAUUUUAAGUGUUCUAAAAUUCACAUAAAUCCCAUUUAGCAUGAAUAUGCAAUCAAAUUGACGUUACGACAAGUAUAAUACACAUAGGGGCCGUUUUGCCCCGAUUUCAUGAAGCCAAACCCACCACAACUCUUGCGACCCUUCGUUUGCUCCGACGAAGGUGCCCACUAGUCUCCUAGCACCCUAAAGAUGUAGGAACAAGAGUUAAACAAACCUUACGAACAU
RNAcentral lists this long non-coding RNA (587 nucleotides) under Ananas comosus (pineapple). Its description in RNAcentral is "long non-coding RNA (ACOM_LNC010231)". The record is from RNAcentral. Lineage: Eukaryota; Viridiplantae; Streptophyta; Magnoliopsida; Poales; Bromeliaceae.